UUACGUUGGCUAUAUCUAUACUAAAAUUGGAAUGAUAUAGAGAAGACUAGUAUUGCCUCUCCUGAAGGAUGACAAAUUCAUUAGGAACUGCUCCACCAUUUU
Monodelphis domestica (gray short-tailed opossum) is the source of this 102-nucleotide small nuclear RNA. NCBI's taxonomy places the organism in Eukaryota, Metazoa, Chordata, Mammalia, Didelphimorphia, Didelphidae. The record is from Ensembl.